AGAACGGGUAUGUCAGAAAAAUAUAUGAAAAGAGAAAAAAAAAAAAAUGUAAAAAAAACUUGUGUGACAUGUCUCGCAGCGGGCGAAACCGUGGGAAUUUCAUAACAGAAGAUCUCUUUACAUAAGGGGAUUUUUUUAGUUCUUAUCAAAACGUUACAUAUAUCAAAAGAAGCGGAAAAAAAAUUUGAAAAUUAUAAAAGAAAAAAAACUUUUUUCAUGUCCGGAUCGUACAUCACCCUUGAUGCAAAAAAUGUCCGCGCCUGACGUUGUUAACACACACGACACACACUUCCCUUGAGAAAAGAUAGUAUGAAUGUCUUCACGAGUGUCCUACUGUUUCAUUUUAGAGCCCCUCCUCUUGAUGACGACACGCACACUGUCAGCUACACUUUGCAGCGUCUCUCUCUUAAAUUUUCCCCAAUAUCUUUGUAUCUCCAUUUCAGAUGAAUUGUUCUCUUUCCAAGGGUUGAGGAGAACAUGGUCGUGGUUCAAGUGAAGCCACUACAGCCACUGCCUGACAAGUCUUCCACACUGAUAGACAGUGGCAGCAAACACACAAGGGAGGAUGGUGUGGUGGACAAGAGGAUGCAGGGAGACGGCAGACAGAAUGGAAGCUACAGAUGAAAGAAGAGCAGGUCAAGCCAUGGCAGCAGACAGACAGACAGAGACAGAUUGGAUCAGAAAGUAUUAUUAUUUAGUGAGCACCAGAAGCAGUCUUCCUCACACGAACCGUUUCAUUGCCGGGACUUGAAGGCUGCUGAAGCAAUGCGGCGGAGGUCACGCCCCUUAAAGUAUUUAUACUUACUGUCAACACCAUAACUAAAGCAAACACUUUAGUGCAGGUAGUUAAAUAAGUGCAAUCAUUGUUCCAGAUUCCUAAAUUCACAAAGUACAUAAACUCAUUGAAAGUUUUUAGUGCAGGUAAUUAAAGUUUUAGUGAAAUAAUUGUUCCUAUUCCUAAUGUUGUGUGGUGCAUUACCUCAGACAGGCCCACUGGAAGCUGUCAGUCUGCUGCGGCACGUGGCAAGAACCAAGUGUUGAGGAGCACACGUUGUCCCUUCACCAGUCAGCAGACUGCUCGCCUUCACAGGUCUGGGCGGCUCGGAAGUCUCACUACAAACUGGAGAUCCAUUCUCUUGGACACAGCUGGAGUCGGACACAAGAUUCAAGAGGGAGUCAUUUUAACGAGAGCUUCAGGCAGAAAAUUCGAGUGGAUUUUCAUUUCUAAAAAUAUCUUAUUUUUUGGGGGGGAUAUUUUGAAUCCUUCUUUGUGGAAAAAUAACUCCAGAUAUUAUGAUUCUAGCUGGAAGUUGACCUGAGCAAUGUAGGGUUUGCUGCUGUGAGAUUAUCACCAAGGCACAAGUGUCCGGGAUUUAAAGAUGAUGGAAAUGUGUCCUGUGUGCUGCUGUGCUGGGAAGAGGAGAGGAGCAGCAGCAGUGGUGGGGCUCUGCUGCUGCUGUCACUAGUGCAGCUGCCUUCCCUCAACAUGAUGUGUCUUCUCUCACCUGCAAUGAACAACUAUGAACAAUACUUUUGCGAUGAAGAACAGUGAAUAACACCUCUCCCCAUAUGAUUGCAAGUCUCUCUCUCUCUCUCUCUCUCUCUCUCUCUCUCUCUCUCUCUCUCUCUCUCUCUCUCUCUCUCUCUCUCUCUCUCUCUCUCUCUCUCCACAGUCCUACAGUAUGUCCCCCACAGUAUGUUUACAAACCCACAGUGACUCCCCACAGCCCCUCACCAACACCCUCACCAACAAUUGUCUCCACACACACACACACACACACACACACACACACCAUUACAUACACAAAUGUUGCAAUCUUGUACACACACACACACACACACACACACACACACACACACACAC
Scylla paramamosain (green mud crab) is the source of this 1864-nucleotide RNA transcript. RefSeq lists it as uncharacterized. The transcript has 4 exons. Lineage: Eukaryota; Metazoa; Arthropoda; Malacostraca; Decapoda; Portunidae. The record is from RefSeq and is a predicted model, not a curated record.